Molecule: non-coding RNA, 74 nt
Organism: Hippopotamus amphibius kiboko
Lineage: Eukaryota; Metazoa; Chordata; Mammalia; Artiodactyla; Hippopotamidae
Source: the annotation of a RefSeq genome assembly
UCCCUGGUGGUCCAGUGGUUAGGACUUGGCACUCUCACUGCCAGGGCCCCGGGGUUCAAUCCCUGGUUGGGGAA